This 1109-nucleotide non-coding RNA is filed under the name Plasmopara halstedii. RNAcentral describes it as "Bacterial large subunit ribosomal RNA". It matches the Rfam family "Bacterial large subunit ribosomal RNA", at positions 333 to 1445 of the family's 2925-position model. The record is from Rfam by way of RNAcentral. Lineage: Eukaryota; Oomycota; Peronosporomycetes; Peronosporales; Peronosporaceae.
UGGAACGGUCUGGAAAGUCCGGCGAUACAGGGUGAUAGCCCCGUACACGAAAGCACACUUGCUGUGAACUCGAAGAGUAGGGCGGGACACGUGGUAUCCUGUCUGAAUAUGGGGGGACCAUCCUCCAAGGCUAAAUACUCCUGACUGACCGAUAGUGAACCAGUACCGUGAGGGAAAGGCGAAAAGAACCCCGGCGAGGGGAGUGAAAAAGAACCUGAAACCGUGUACGUACAAGCAGUGGGAGCACGCUUAGGCGUGUGACUGCGUACCUUUUGUAUAAUGGGUCAGCGACUUAUAUUCUGUAGCAAGGUUAACCGUAUAGGGGAGCCGCAGGGAAACCGAGUCUUAACUGGGCGUUAAGUUGCAGGGUAUAGACCCGAAACCCGGUGAUCUAGCCAUGGGCAGGUUGAAGGUUGGGUAACACUAACUGGAGGACCGAACCGACUAAUGUUGAAAAAUUAGCGGAUGACUUGUGGCUGGGGGUGAAAGGCCAAUCAAACCGGGAGAUAGCUGGUUCUCCCCGAAAGCUAUUUAGGUAGCGCCUCGUGAAUUCAUCUCCGGGGGUAGAGCACUGUUUCGGCAAGGGGGUCAUCCCGACUUACCAACCCGAUGCAAACUGCGAAUACCGGAGAAUGUUAUCACGGGAGACACACGGCGGGUGCUAACGUCCGUCGUGAAGAGGGAAACAACCCAGACCGCCAGCUAAGGUCCCAAAGUCAUGGUUAAGUGGGAAACGAUGUGGGAAGGCACAGACAGCCAGGAUGUUGGCUUAGAAGCAGCCAUCAUUUAAAGAAAGCGUAAUAGCUCACUGGUCGAGUCGGCCUGCGCGGAAGAUGUAACGGGGCUAAACCAUGCACCGAAGCUGCGGCAGCGACACUAUGUGUUGUUGGGUAGGGGAGCGUUCUGUAAGCCGUCGAAGGUGUGCUGUGAGGCAUGCUGGAGGUAUCAGAAGUGCGAAUGCUGACAUAAGUAACGAUAAAGCGGGUGAAAAGCCCGCUCGCCGGAAGACCAAGGGUUCCUGUCCAACGUUAAUCGGGGCAGGGUGAGUCGACCCCUAAGGCGAGGCCGAAAGGCGUAGUCGAUGGGAAACAGGUUAAUAUUCCUGUACU